Molecule: ribosomal RNA, 3180 nt
Filed under: Fuligo septica
Lineage: Eukaryota; Evosea; Eumycetozoa; Physariida; Physaraceae
Description: partial 28S ribosomal RNA
Rfam family: Eukaryotic large subunit ribosomal RNA (bases 1644-2190)
Source: RNAcentral
GAGUAACUAUGACUCUCUUAAGGUAGCCAAAUGCCUCGUCAUCAAUGGAAAAAAAAUGCCGCAAUAGUGGUACUUUCUGGCUUUAAACCAAAAAAAAAUUGGCCGGGUUGGCAGAAAUGCCGGCCCGGCUAAUUUAGAAGCGACGCUUAUUCUACCGGCCGUAACGGGGGUGGAGCUCGGUGCCUAACGGCUUAAUACCCGAGAGCCCCUCUGGAUAAAGCCGGGAGAAAAAACAAGGAGUCUAACGUACAUACAAAAUAUUGCAGGGAUCGCUACCCGGCAAAAUUAUCCUCUAACGUGCAGACGCUUAGCCGGUGGUGGGCUUAACUGCCUACCCCGGCACCGGCUGACAGGGGGGCCGGCUCCGAGUCCCGUGCUUCCCCCCCUCUCGGGGGGGGGAGGCCGGGCAGUGAGCGCGGGUUCCUCCAGUUGGCCGUAAAACUGACGCUUCUAGUGCAUCUUGCACCCGGUCGUGGGCCAAUAAACGUACCCGCGCAAGCGGGGGGUGUACGGCUUAACCCGGUGGCUUGUAUUCUGUCCAAAUUGCCGUAUGAGUUCGUUUGAAUCCCGUGGCUUCCAAGCGGAAGGCCGAAAGGCUGCCGUGGCUUUCUGGGACUGGUUCCGAUCCAGUUACCGGGGGGGUAUGGAAACAAGGUCGCGGUUAGUAGGACUUGUGCGGCAUCCAACUGCCUAAAGGGGAUUUUUCCCGGGCGUGUCUGGCUAUUCCAAAGGGUUGUCGCUGGCCUCACAAGCCGGCUUCGGCCUUGGCCGGAUCGUGUUCCCGGGGAGCUUCGCUCCAUGGUGGGGGUUCGAUGGUUCGACGGACAGCUCGGCAUAGUGUAUAAAUUGCCGAUAAGUGCCCGGUCAAAAUCUUUUUGGCCGGGCCACAGUAAGGCGGAACCUGAGGCCGGAUUCCAUGGCGGCUAUUUUGCCCGGCGCUCCUCUCACGGGGGGCAAUGGGUAGGCUGUCCCGGUCGUUUAAGGGGGAACCCAUACAAAACACGGACGCUUUUAAUUUGCCGUACAAAAAAAUAACCGGGCAAUCGACGGCUUUGUUGACGCUGGUCGCGGCUAAAUCCCCCGUCUUUUUCUUUAGGCGGCUAGCCUCUUCCGGAAGAGAAGCCGGUCCAAGGCCCGGUUAAUUUGUGACGCGCAUGAAUGGAUUAAUGAGAUUCCCACUGUCCCUACCUACUAUCUAGCGAAACCACAGCCAAGGGAACGGGCUUGGCACAAUUAGCGGGGAAAGAAGACCCUAAACUCAAUGGGGCCAACAGGGGGCUGGGUCUGAUCAACCCAGUGUAACCCCCUAGUCGAGGUAGCAAAUAGGGUAACCUCCGUUAUUGCAAGGGGGGCCCGAGGUGCAAGGGCUAUCCGGCGAGACAACCUGGUACGAGGGAACCCCAAGAGAAAUCCUUGGGCAAUCUCGUGGCGAGCUACUAGCAAGGCCGUUGUAACGCACGGAAAGGUGUCGGUCCGUAUGAUAAAUCAACGGGCUUAAGAAACGUGCUAAACCUACACGCAAGUGUACUGGCCUGAUUAGGGCUUGCACCCUGAAGCCGUGCUGGGGCGUCGCUAUCCCUUCGAGAGGGGGGGGUAGCUUAACCCGAUUCGGAAAUGUCUCGGGGGAAGCUGGUAUUCAUUUGGUUGAGCUUGACUCUAGGCACAGAAGCGAGGUGAUUCUAAAGGUGUAGCAUAGGUGGGAGGGCCCAGCCCGUCCAUGAAAUACCACCACUUUCGACUUUGCUUUGCUAAUGCUGUAACGAACGAACGACACCCAAGGGGCUUUACGCACCUAGGGUAAGUCAUAUUCUAGCGUUUUCCAGGCACGUACGAUGGUCAAACCCCUCUGGGUGAGUACCUCGAGACCACAAACUGGGCUUCCGGGUCUGGUGCGUGUUGCUCUUGGGGGAACUGGAGGUCGUGCGACUGUCCUCUGCGGGCAUUAAACUGGUACGUAAUCCGUGUAGCAGACACUCUGUGUUGGGGAGUUUGGCUGGGGCGGAAAACUGCUACACGGCAACGGCAGUCUCCUAAGGUCCACUCAGAGACGACAGAAACGUCUCGUAGAGCAUAAAGGCAAAAGUGGGCUUAACUCACGUUUUCAGUAGUAAUGUGAAGCAAGAAAUUGCGGCUUAACGAUCCUUAGCAGCGGGUGCCAGCCCAUGCUUGAGGUGAGAGAAAAGUUACCACAGGGAUUGAUAAAGGUAACGGGGGAGAGAUAGGAGUAGCGAACCAUCCUCCCCUAACAGUUCCAAACGAACACACGAAGGUACGACCGAAGGUGCAUAAGGAGGAUUCUAACUGUGGCCUAUGCACUUAGGUACGACCGAACCAACCGACCUAAGCGCGCAAGGAGGAUUCAGACUAUGGCCUUGUGCGUUAAGGGAGGAACCCCCCCCCUAACCCGAAGCGCGUAAGAGAGGAUUUAAGCUAUGGCCUUAUGCGCUGAGGGCGGGGGGAUCGACUGAAUGCAUAAGGAGGGUUCUAUGGCCUAUUCACGAUGUCAAAGAAUCAGUUAUAACCUAAGGGCGAGGCGCAGGUUGCCCGAAGGUAUAAGCGACGCGCCUGGAUGCUGGGAAGGUCUAUAGGUGAAAAGGGGGUUUUUUGGCAGCCCUAAGUAACCUUAAACGGCAGUGGUACCAAUCGUAUCUCGGUAACACCGGGACAAAGACUCCUCCUCAAGAGCGUAAUGAAAAAGGCCCUGGGGGAAUGGGGGGGUAACAAUCCACUCGCGCGGGACCCAUCAGCAGGCAACGAGGCACCCCAAAAGGCAAAGGAUACUGAGUAACCCCUGGGCAAGGGUAACCAGGCUCCGAACGCCAUAAUGGUAACGGGUGUUAAGUGCUUCAAGGACUGGUAAGGUGCGGGCUCCGUUUGACCUUGUAUACACUAAGGGGGGGAGGGAAACAAUGAUACCCCCUCCCUUAAGGCAAGGAUCUUCCUGGGCUUAAGGUACAGUCUCAAGCGGACCUUUAGUAACGGCUGGUAACCGUGAAAGGGGUCUCCUUACCUCACAAUCCCACGACUGCAGGGAAGGGGUAGGGGAGUCUUUUAUAAAGCCUUUCCCUUAAAGGAGGGGGGGAAGGUAAGGCUUGCUCUCUAAAAAGCGUAGAGGAAUUCGACCCUACGCGAUUAACUCGGAACUGGCUUGUGGCCGCCAAGCGUUCAUAGCGACGUGGC